UCCUACGGGAGGCAGCAGUGGGGAAUAUUGUACAAUGGGAGAAAGCCUGAUCCAGCCAUCCAGGGUGUGUGACGAAAGAUUCGGAUUGUAAAGCUCUUUAAGUUGGGAGGAAGGGCAGUUACAUAAUACGUGGAUAGUGACGGACCGACAGAAUAGAUCCGUUUGGC
RNAcentral lists this ribosomal RNA (167 nucleotides) under Pseudomonas fluorescens. Its description in RNAcentral is "partial 16S ribosomal RNA". It matches the Rfam family "Bacterial small subunit ribosomal RNA", at positions 337 to 501 of the family's 1533-position model. Lineage: Bacteria; Pseudomonadati; Pseudomonadota; Gammaproteobacteria; Pseudomonadales; Pseudomonadaceae. The record is from RNAcentral.